RNAcentral lists this ribosomal RNA (414 nucleotides) under uncultured archaeon CRO-5a. RNAcentral's name for it is "bacterial SSU rRNA". It matches the Rfam family "Archaeal small subunit ribosomal RNA", at positions 31 to 452 of the family's 1478-position model. The record is from RNAcentral.
UAUCAGAGUGAGAUUAAGCCAUGCGAGUCAACGUAGCAAUACGUGGCAUACGGCUCAGUAACACGUAGUCAACAUAACCAAAGGACGUGGAUAAACUCGGGAAACUGAGGCUAAACCGCGAUAGAUCAAGAUACCUGGAAUGGUUUUUGAUCAAAAUCUAUAUGGCCUUUGGAUUGGACUGCGUCCGAUCAGGCUGUUGGUGAGGUAAUGGCCCACCAAACCUAUAACCGGUACGGGCUCUGAGAGGAGGAGCCCGGAGAUGGGUACUGAGAUAAGGACCCAGGCCCUAUGGGGCGCAGCAGGCGCGAAACCUCUGCAAUAGGCGAAAGCUUGACAGGGUUACUCUGAGUGACUUUCGUUAAGAAAGUCUUUUGACACCUCUAAAAAUGGUGUAGAAUAAGGGGUGGGCAAGUC